This 489-nucleotide ribosomal RNA is filed under the name uncultured bacterium. RNAcentral describes it as "partial 16S ribosomal RNA". It matches the Rfam family "Bacterial small subunit ribosomal RNA", at positions 30 to 507 of the family's 1533-position model. The record is from RNAcentral.
UUGAACGCUGGCGGCAGGCCUAACACAUGCAAGUCGCACGGUAACAGGAAGCAGCUUGCUGCUUUGCUGACGAGUGGCGGACGGGUGAGUAAUGUCUGGGAAACUGCCUGAUGGAGGGGGAUAACUACUGGAAACGGUAGCUAAUACCGCAUAACGUCGCAAGACCAAAGAGGGGGACCUUCGGGCCUCUUGCCAUCGGAUGUGCCCAGAUGGGAUUAGCUAGUAGGUGGGGUAACGGCUCACCUAGGCGACGAUCCCUAGCUGGUCUGAGAGGAUGACCAGCCACACUGGAACUGAGACACGGUCCAGACUCCUACGGGAGGCAGCAGUGGGGAAUAUUGCACAAUGGGCGCAAGCCUGAUGCAGCCAUGCCGCGUGUAUGAAGAAGGCCUUCGGGUUGUAAAGUACUUUCAGCGGGGAGGAAGGGAGUAAAGUUAAUACCUUUGCUCAUUGACGUUACCCGCAGAAGAAGCACCGGCUAACUCCGUG